GAUGAACGCUGGCGGCGUGCCUAAUACAUGCAAGUCGAGCGAACAGAUGAGGAGCUUGCUCCUCUGACGUUAGCGGCGGACGGGUGAGUAACACGUGGAUAACCUACCUAUAAGACUGGGAUAACUUCGGGAAACCGGAGCUAAUACCGGAUAAUAUAUUGAACCGCAUGGUUCAAUAGUGAAAGACGGUUUUGCUGUCACUUAUAGAUGGAUCCGCGCCGCAUUAGCUAGUUGGUAAGGUAACGGCUUACCAAGGCAACGAUGCGUAGCCGACCUGAGAGGGUGAUCGGCCACACUGGAACUGAGACACGGUCCAGACUCCUACGGGAGGCAGCAGUAGGGAAUCUUCCGCAAUGGGCGAAAGCCUGAGGGAGCAACGCCGCGUGAGUGAUGAAGGUCUUCGGAUCGUAAAACUCUGUUAUUAGGGAAGAACAAAUGUGUAAGUAACUAUGCACGUCUUGACGGUACCUAAUCAGAAAGCCACGGCUAACUACGUG
This 497-nucleotide ribosomal RNA is filed under the name uncultured bacterium. RNAcentral describes it as "partial 16S ribosomal RNA". It matches the Rfam family "Bacterial small subunit ribosomal RNA", at positions 28 to 507 of the family's 1533-position model. The record is from RNAcentral.